This 467-nucleotide ribosomal RNA is filed under the name uncultured bacterium. RNAcentral describes it as "partial 16S ribosomal RNA". It matches the Rfam family "Bacterial small subunit ribosomal RNA", at positions 29 to 507 of the family's 1533-position model. The record is from RNAcentral.
ACGAACGCUGGCGGCGUGCUUAACCCAUGCAAGUCGAACGGAAAGGCCCUGCUUUUGUGGGGUGCUCGAGUGGCGAACGGGUGAGUAACACGUGAGUAACCUGCCCUUGACUUUGGGAUAACUUCAGGAAACUGGGGCUAAUACCGGAUAGGAGCUCCUGCUGCAUGGUGGGGGUUGGAAAGUUUCGGCGGUUGGGGAUGGACUCGCGGCUUAUCAGCUUGUUGGUGGGGUAGUGGCUUACCAAGGCUUUGACGGGUAGCCGGCCUGAGAGGGUGACCGGCCACAUUGGGACUGAGAUACGGCCCAGACUCCUACGGGAGGCAGCAGUGGGGAAUAUUGCACAAUGGGCGGAAGCCUGAUGCAGCGACGCCGCGUGCGGGAUGACGGCCUUCGGGUUGUAAACCGCUUUCGCCUGUGACGAAGCGUGAGUGACGGUAAUGGGUAAAGAAGCACCGGCUAACUACGUG